AAUUUAAGCUUCAUAUAUAAAGGUUGCCUUUUGUUAGAAAA
Molecule: transfer RNA, 41 nt
Filed under: Bembidion breve
Lineage: Eukaryota; Metazoa; Arthropoda; Insecta; Coleoptera; Carabidae
Description: partial tRNA-Leu
Source: RNAcentral